RNAcentral lists this long non-coding RNA (249 nucleotides) under Lathyrus oleraceus (garden pea). RNAcentral describes it as "Pisum sativum (pea) long non-coding RNA (PSAT_LNC029364)". Lineage: Eukaryota; Viridiplantae; Streptophyta; Magnoliopsida; Fabales; Fabaceae. The record is from RNAcentral.
UAAACUGUUGAGUUGUACAGUGAUGUUGUAAACUGAUUCUGGUUUGUGUGGAAUGUAUAUUGUUGAUGCUGUUGAAUAAUUAUGUGAUAUAGUGAGUUGUUUAUGGUUUGAAGGGGGACUGUAAGUAUGUUAUUAUUGUUGUUCCAUCAAUUGUAUGCCAUGCAUCAUAAGUCGUUGUUGUUGAAAGAGGCAGAUUACAAGUCUAAAAUGAUGGGUCGAUAACUUGUCCCGAACCUAGAAGGGUGUUUC